This 426-nucleotide ribosomal RNA is filed under the name uncultured soil bacterium. Its description in RNAcentral is "bacterial SSU rRNA". It matches the Rfam family "Bacterial small subunit ribosomal RNA", at positions 966 to 1393 of the family's 1533-position model. The record is from RNAcentral.
GAACCUUACCUGGGCUCGAAAUGGUAUGGACCGGGGUAGAAAUAUCCCUUCCCAGCAAUGGGCCGUACUAUAGGUGCUGCAUGGCUGUCGUCAGCUCGUGUCGUGAGAUGUUGGGUUAAGUCCCGCAACGAGCGCAACCCUUAUCUCCAGUUGCUACCAUUUAGUUGAGCACUCUGGCGAAACCGCCUCGGAUAACGGGGAGGAAGGUGGGGAUGACGUCAAGUCCUCAUGGCCUUUAUGUCCAGGGCUACACACGUGCUACAAUGGCCGGUACAAACCGUCGCAAACCCGUGAGGGGGAGCUAAUCGGAAAAAGCCGGCCUCAGUUCGGAUCGCAGUCUGCAACUCGACUGCGUGAAGCUGGAAUCGCUAGUAAUCGCGGAUCAGAAUGCCGCGGUGAAUACGUUCCCGGGCCUUGUCACACCGA